GACGAACGCUGGCGGCGUGCUUAACACAUGCAAGUCGAACGGAAAGGCCCUGCUUUUGUGGGGUGCUCGAGUGGCGAACGGGUGAGUAACACGUGAGUAACCUGCCCUUGACUUUGGGAUAACUUCAGGAAACUGGGGCUAAUACCGGAUAGGAGCUCCUGCUGCAUGGUGGGGGUUGGAAAGUUUCGGCGGUUGGGGAUGGACUCGCGGCUUAUCAGCUUGUUGGUGGGGUAGUGGCUUACCAAGGCUUUGACGGGUAGCCGGCCUGAGAGGGUGACCGGCCACAUUGGGACUGAGAUACGGCCCAGACUCCUACGGGAGGCAGCAGUGGGGAAUAUUGCACAAUGGGCGGAAGCCUGAUGCAGCAACGCCGCGUGCGGGAUGACGGCCUUCGGGUUGUAAACCGCUUUCAGCAGGGACGAAGCUUUUUGUGACGGUACCUGCAGAAGAAGCACCGGCUAACUACGU
RNAcentral lists this ribosomal RNA (468 nucleotides) under uncultured bacterium. Its description in RNAcentral is "partial 16S ribosomal RNA". It matches the Rfam family "Bacterial small subunit ribosomal RNA", at positions 28 to 506 of the family's 1533-position model. The record is from RNAcentral.